CACAAUGGAAUGAGGAAACCAAUCACUCAAGUUCAUCUCAAACCCACCAUAGUUGUUGUUGAGUAUAGUGAUAAGAGAUAUCAACUAAGAUGAGUGGUGGGAAGGGUUGGGUCUUUUUGGCUUUCUUGCUCUUCUUUUUCCUCUUCUCCUCGGAGCUGGCUGCUGCCCGGAAGCUGAUGGUGGCCGGAAACAAUGCAGCGGUCAUACAUGAAGGCCGCACCACUUUCGCCACCCCCCGCACACGAAACCCCAACAAACCCGUUUGCGAUCCUUAUAAUCGAUUGUACCUCUGCAAUCCGCCACCCACACCCUGCAGUCCUUAUAAACGAAACUGCCCUCCGAAGAACUGAAGUGGACACUAAGAUCAAACACCAUGGGAACUAAAUAAACUAACCCACACCUACCUGAGUUUUAGUGUGCAUUGAAUCCUACUUAUAUGUUUAUAAGUUUCGGAGAUUUGCGCGGGUAUAAUUCGUAACUCGAUCAAUUUACUCGGGUAGUUUAUAUGAGUGUGAACUUUUAAUUAUAUCAAUUAAGCUUAUGAAUUUUCAAUA
This is a long non-coding RNA of Cucurbita moschata (crookneck pumpkin), 554 nucleotides long. RefSeq lists it as uncharacterized. The record is from RefSeq and is a predicted model, not a curated record. The transcript has 2 exons. NCBI's taxonomy places the organism in Eukaryota, Viridiplantae, Streptophyta, Magnoliopsida, Cucurbitales, Cucurbitaceae.